UACGAGAGGCCCGAGCGUUAAUCGGAAUCACUGGGCUUAAAGGGUGCGUAGGCGGAUCUGAAGGUGUGCUGUGAAAUCCCCCGGCUCAACCGGGGAAUGGCGGUGCAAACCACAGAUCUUGAGGAAGGUAGAGGUCGUCGGAACGUUCGGUGGAGCGGUGAAAUGCGUAGAGAUCGAACGGAACGCCAAAGGUGAAGACAGGCGACUGGGCCUUUCCUGACGCUGAGGCACGAAAGCGUGGGGAGCAAACAGG
RNAcentral lists this ribosomal RNA (253 nucleotides) under uncultured bacterium. Its description in RNAcentral is "partial 16S ribosomal RNA". It matches the Rfam family "Bacterial small subunit ribosomal RNA", at positions 524 to 776 of the family's 1533-position model. The record is from RNAcentral.